Molecule: long non-coding RNA, 293 nt
Filed under: Setaria viridis
Lineage: Eukaryota; Viridiplantae; Streptophyta; Magnoliopsida; Poales; Poaceae
Description: long non-coding RNA (SVIR_LNC006102)
Source: RNAcentral
UUUUUUUGAACGAAUCGCACAAGAUAGUGCGUGUUUCGUUGAUAUAGCAGAAAAAAAUACAAGGCUACAGGCAGGAAAAAGAAAAGAAAAUGAAACAAAAAAAGGCCGCCCGGUUUGAUUGGGACGUCAACGUGGGUAACCACUCAACUCAAACCACCACACCCAGUCGGUUGGAUUGGGACGUCAGCGCGGCCUCGCCACUCCACUCGCCAAGCAGAACCAGAGCCUUUAUAAUAAUCACAGCAUCAACCAACACUCACCCUCAUGUAGUCACCGCACAGGCCGCGCACGCC